Nannospalax galili (Upper Galilee mountains blind mole rat) is the source of this 471-nucleotide long non-coding RNA. RefSeq lists it as uncharacterized. The record is from RefSeq and is a predicted model, not a curated record. NCBI's taxonomy places the organism in Eukaryota, Metazoa, Chordata, Mammalia, Rodentia, Spalacidae. The transcript is spliced from 2 exons.
CUUAGGAGUGCCUCAGAGACCGCGAGGACCCCGCGGAUGGCCGAAGGACCCAGAGUUGCGUGGCGAAUAGUUCCACGUGACCGCCCGGGGUGGCCAAAGAAUGGGAACAGCCUAAGAUACCAUCCUUCAAGCAGUUGGAGACUUGAGCUGCCUGAAGCUCCUGUUGUACCCUGUCACUGUCCAGGACUUCAGUCCCUAGCCAGCAAUGGACUGAGAAUUUGGAUUCCAAGAGAUUUUUGCCUAAUUGCCCAGGAUAUUUAGUAAGAAUACCAAUUACUCUGCAUCUGGAUCAAUUUAGACUUUGUUUCUAGCCCAUUGUUUUGCAAAGAAUAAAGAAGGAAUCUGGUUCCUAGAACCUUUGCAACAGUUCCAAUUCUAUUAAUAGCACCAUCUGUAGACUGUGAGCAGGUCCAACUUUGGAAGUGGACAAGGUAAAGCCAACCUGGGAAGCCAUUUUUUCAGAUCUGGGGU